RNAcentral lists this ribosomal RNA (301 nucleotides) under uncultured bacterium. RNAcentral's name for it is "partial 16S ribosomal RNA". It matches the Rfam family "Bacterial small subunit ribosomal RNA", at positions 509 to 807 of the family's 1533-position model. The record is from RNAcentral.
CAGUCGCCGCGGGAAUACGAAGGGGGCUAGCGUUGCUCGGAAUGACUGGGCGUAAAGGGCGCGUAGGCGGCGAUCAAAGUCAGGCGUGAAAUUCCUGGGCUCAACCUGGGGGCUGCGCUUGAUACUUGGUUGCUUGAGUGGGGAAGAGGGUCGUGGAAUUCCCAGUGUAGAGGUGAAAUUCGUAGAUAUUGGGAAGAACACCGGUGGCGAAGGCGGCGACCUGGUCCUUGACUGACGCUGAGGCGCGAAAGCGUGGGGAGCAAACAGGAUUAGAGACCCCGGUAGUCCCUGUCUCUUAUAC